GUACAUCACCUACCCUCCAAUGUGCAAACAUUGAGGUUAUCGACUGUCAGAACUUUCUAAACUGUUUGCAGCGCGGUGCUCCACAGUUCUAUAAUCAACAUGGUUAUUAACACCUGAUCUGUGCCCGCACUCCUGCAGUAGACAUAUCUUUAGGUGACUCUGGUGGAGGAUUGGUGUACAAUAACAUGAUUUACGGGGCAAUUUCUUUCACUGGGCAUUCCAAAACAGCAUGUGCUCAACCAGCUGCAUUUAUGAACAUCUGCCAUCAGCCCUACUUGACAUGGAUCAAAGGGAUUCUUGCAAGACCAUAGACAAGUCUAAUGAUUGGUUAAUGAGCAAAUGUCCUGUAAUCCAUGAGGCAUUUAACUCUAAUUUAGAGAACAGGUUUCUCUUCAUUUCAGAAAAUAAAUAUAUUAUUGAUUGGUUUUUAAUUGAAAGUUCAACAAUUAAUUUGACAUUUGUUGGACUUGAGACUAGUUUUCUGAUUUACAGAUGUUUCAAUUCUAACAGUUUCAAGUAUUGUGUAGAAGACAACUUUUCUACAAUCAUUUAGAUUUAGCCUGUAAUUGGACAGUCAUUGUAUGGAAAAUACAAAGAGGCAUAAACAGUUAUCUGCUUGUCGUUUAACAUCCCUGUUUAUUCAAAACAUUAAGACCCAUCUUAUACAAAGUUUUUCAAAUUCAAAUAAAUUGAAGAUGACUCAAAACUUUUGUUGUUAUGUUGAAUUGAUUUACGCUGUCAAAGAAAAUAAGACAUAUGUAUACAUCUCGAUUUUGAUUACAGGGUCAUAUAAUCAUCCUCAAAUCAAAACUUAUCCCCCUAACACACACACACACACACACACACACACACACUCACACACACACACACACACACACACACACACACACACACUCACACACACACACACACACACACACACACACACACACACUCACACACACACACACACACACACACACACACACACACACUCACACACACACACACACACACACACACACACACAUGUACAGAAAUAAAGUUGACAGAAGGUUGCUGACUGGGACAGAUAAGAACUGUUUAUCUUGUAUUGUGACUCUGAAAGACAGACACCAACUUUGCACCUUUAUCUCAGAGCCAUCACUCACUUUCUGUUCCUCUGCUUCCUCCAAACACACAGUUUUUCAUCCCGUCACACUUAAGUAUUCAAAAAAUCUCAGGCAUCCAGA
Labrus mixtus (cuckoo wrasse) is the source of this 1211-nucleotide long non-coding RNA. RefSeq lists it as uncharacterized. Lineage: Eukaryota; Metazoa; Chordata; Actinopteri; Labriformes; Labridae. The transcript has 2 exons. The record is from RefSeq and is a predicted model, not a curated record.